Cinara cedri is the source of this 244-nucleotide non-coding RNA. NCBI's taxonomy places the organism in Eukaryota, Metazoa, Arthropoda, Insecta, Hemiptera, Aphididae. The record is from the annotation of a GenBank genome assembly.
UCUUUAAAACAAAUUUCGAAAAUAGUUAACACUUUCCGAGAUAAUAAGUAUCUUCCGAUAAAUUUAUCACUCCGUAUAUCGAAAUUGUACACUUCAAAUUUGAAUACGGCGAAACAACAAAUUUUCUUUUAUAAUAUACAAAAAGUGCACAUUUAAUUACACAUUUAUUUGUAUAGUUUUAUUUCCUUUAAAUAAUAUAAAAGAAAACACUUCGAUCGCGAAAUGCAAUAAUAAUUUACACGCA